GCAGUCGCCGCGGGAAUACGAAGGGUGCAAGCGUUAAUCGGAAUUACUGGGCGUAAAGCGUGCGUAGGCGGUGAGUUAAGUCUGCUGUGAAAUCCCCGGGCUCAACCUGGGAAUGGCAGUGGAUACUGGCUCGCUAGAGUGUGUCAGAGGAUGGUGGAAUUCCCGGUGUAGCGGUGAAAUGCGUAGAGAUCGGGAGGAACAUCAGUGGCGAAGGCGGCCAUCUGGGACAACACUGACGCUGAGGCACGAAAGCGUGGGGAGCAAACAGGAUUAGAUACCCCCGUAGUCCCUGUCUCUUAUAC
RNAcentral lists this ribosomal RNA (302 nucleotides) under uncultured bacterium. RNAcentral describes it as "partial 16S ribosomal RNA". It matches the Rfam family "Bacterial small subunit ribosomal RNA", at positions 508 to 807 of the family's 1533-position model. The record is from RNAcentral.